UCAGGAUGAACGCUGGCGGCGUGCCUAACACAUGCAAGUCGAGCGGGGAAGCCGGAACAUGUAGAGAUAUAUGAGAAAGCAUCCUAGCGGCGGACGGGUGAGUAACACGUGAGGAACCUGCCUUACACAGGGGAAUAACACCGUGAAAACGGUGCUAAUACCGCAUAACACCGCACUAUGGCAUCAUAGAGCGGUCAAAGGAGAAAUCCGGUGUAAGAUGGCCUCGCGCCCGAUUAGUUAGUUGGUGGGGUAAUGGCCUACCAAGACUGCGAUCGGUAGCCGGACUGAGAGGUCGAACGGCCACAUUGGAACUGAGAGACGGUCCAGACUCCUACGGGAGGCAGCAGUGGGGAAUAUUGGGCAAUGGGGGGAAACCCUGACCCAGCAACGCCGCGUGAAGGAAGAAGGCCUUCGGGGUUGUAAACUUCUUUGAUCAGGGAAGAAACAAAUGACGGUACCCGAAAAACAAGCCACGGCUAACUACGUGCCAGCCGCUGC
RNAcentral lists this ribosomal RNA (498 nucleotides) under uncultured bacterium. RNAcentral describes it as "bacterial SSU rRNA". It matches the Rfam family "Bacterial small subunit ribosomal RNA", at positions 24 to 518 of the family's 1533-position model. The record is from RNAcentral.